UACGGAGGGUGCAAGCGUUGUCCGGAUUUAUUGGGUUAAAGGGUGCGUAGGCGGCUCUUUAAGUCAGUGGUGAAAGCCGACAGCUUAACUGUCGAAAUGCCAUUGAUACUGGGGAGCUUGAGUACAGUAGAGGUAGGCGGAAUUAAUGGUGUAGCGGUGAAAUGCAUAGAUACCAUUAAGAACACCGAUUGCGAAGGCAGCUUACUAUAGUGUAACUGACGCGAGGCACGAAAGUGUGGGAUCAAACAGG
Molecule: ribosomal RNA, 250 nt
Filed under: uncultured bacterium
Lineage: Bacteria
Description: partial 16S ribosomal RNA
Rfam family: Bacterial small subunit ribosomal RNA
Source: RNAcentral